Molecule: transfer RNA, 73 nt
Filed under: 'Nostoc azollae' 0708
Lineage: Bacteria; Bacillati; Cyanobacteriota; Cyanophyceae; Nostocales; Nostocaceae
Rfam family: tRNA
About the family: Transfer RNA (tRNA) molecules are approximately 80 nucleotides in length. Their secondary structure includes four short double-helical elements and three loops (D, anti-codon, and T loops).
Source: Rfam by way of RNAcentral
GGGAGUUUAGCUCAGUUGGUAGAGCGCCUACUUUGCAAGCAGGAUGUCAGCGGUUCGAGUCGGCUAACUUCCA